Molecule: long non-coding RNA, 1437 nt
Filed under: Macaca mulatta (Rhesus monkey)
Lineage: Eukaryota; Metazoa; Chordata; Mammalia; Primates; Cercopithecidae
Description: lncRNA (ENSMMUG00000059898.1)
Source: RNAcentral
CUCAGCCUCAGUUUUUGUAGCUAUAAAACUGUUAUAUAACAUUGUUAUAUACUAUUACUCAACUUGAGGGGGGUAUCGAAAGGGUUAAAUAAGGUCAUGUCCAUCAUUCUAUGUCAUUACUUUGUUUUAAUUUCUUCCUAGCAUUGAAUAUUACUUAUGAUUAUUUUAUUUGUUCAUGAGUUUAUUGACUUUCUUCCUUUGUCUUUCCAUAGCUGUUCUCCAAGUGUCUAGAAUUGCACUGAUUAGCACAGUGGCCACUAGCCAAUGUGGCUAUUAAGCAUUUGAGAUGUUCCUAGCAGGAACUGAGAUGAGCUGGAAGUGUAACAUACACACAACAUUUCAAAGACACAGCAUAAAAAAAAGUAAAUGUAAAAUAUUUUAUCGAUAAUUUUUAUAUUGAUCACAUAUCGAAAUAAUAUUUAGGGCAUAUUGGGUUAAAUUAUUAAAAUUACUUUUACUUAUGUCUUUUUACUUUCUUUAAUGUGGCUGUUAGAAAAUUUAAAAUGUCGUAUGUAGUUAAUACUAUUUCUAUGGAGCAGUGCUCGUCAAGAAUAAUGCUGGCACAUACUAGGUGCUCAAUAAAUAGUUGAAUGACUGAAUAUUUUUCCUUGAAUGAGUGAGUGGCACAAAAGUGAAAGUAUAUAAAUAAUAGUUUCUCUCAAGUAGGUGACCUCCAUAGGAUAAAGCUGUCUGCUUUAGAUUAAUAAACUCAUUCUGGUCGAGGUGUUAAUAGCUGAUAACAGCUUAAAUUGUUGGCAUGAGUCAAGGUAAGAUGUACAUUUUAAUUGCAACUUUCUAGAAGUCAGAUAAAAGUAGGCUUCUUAAUUUUACUGUGAGGUCUUCCAGAAGAAAGGUUCCUUUAGAUCAAAUUUAAAAAAAAAAAAAAAAAAAAAAAAAAAAAAAGAAGAAGAAGAAGAAGAGGAGGGAGGGGACAAAUGCUGGGAGUGGGGAUGGAGCGGAGGAUCGAGGGAGAUGCGGAGAAACUUCAGCGCGGCAGAUGCUUUUGUUUCCCGUUACCUGCUGCGUCUAGUCCCGUCCAGGGCACACAGUGGGCGCUUAGUAACUGUAGAAAGAAAUCGAACGAAAUCGGAAGUGGGAGAGGCAGAGGCCACAAUCAAGACACGGAAUAGACAGUCAGUCGAGGCAGCAGAGAGGGUGCCACGCGGCCAGCGGAGGCGCAGGGCAGCUGCGGAGGGAUCUUGCCACGGGGCGGAGGGACCGCGCUCCCCACCAGCGCGGCUCAUUCAGGCCACCCUGGGUUCUACCCCCCUGGGAAGACUUCCUUUGGCCAGUGUCAAUCAGUGCCAAAACCAAGAGGAAAACUGAGGAGGGUUUCAUUAUAGAAGACUAUACCACCUGGACACAAGGAUACAAGAGCAGAGUUGCUGAAGCCAUCUUGGAGUAUCAGGUCUCCCUGAUUCUUCUGAAUCCUCCCAG